UGAACCAUCGCCGCGGGCCGUAGCGCCGUCGCCGGAGCACCGUAGAGCCGCCGUACCGGAAUCCCAAAAUUGGCCAAAAUGGACCCUGAGACUGAUUUAGGGUUUGUUUUAUUUUAGUUUUAGUUAAUUAAGCCCAUAUAGUCAAGUGUAAUUCAUUUUGGGCUUAAGUCUUGUCUUAGUAUUAUUACAAGAAUGAGCCCAUAACUAUAUGAUGCCACAAACAAUUGGUGGUGUUGGUUAAGAAGAUUGGAGUUACAAUGAGUUACAUAAAAAUUACAUGCCUAUAAUU
This 289-nucleotide long non-coding RNA is filed under the name Carica papaya (papaya). Its description in RNAcentral is "long non-coding RNA (CPAP_LNC016036)". Lineage: Eukaryota; Viridiplantae; Streptophyta; Magnoliopsida; Brassicales; Caricaceae. The record is from RNAcentral.